GUGAAUCUUGGACGAUGAACUCGCUGCCAAGGAGAUUUGGGAAGAAUCAAGGAUACUUAGAUCGAGAUCACCAUAGAGGGAGGAUAUCUUGAUCCCACUCAUAAUCUGAUGAGGAGUUGAAGGGAUUGAGUCAUGAAGAGUACACGAAGAUUAAACGACUCAAGAUGAGGAAAUCGGGAAAUUUCUGCAUCUGGAAGAACACGCUGACGAGAUUCCGGAACGGGACGUAGAUGAUCCGAAACGGAAAGGUGAAUCUGAUUCUGGUAAGUCGGAAUCUGAUAGAUCUUGGAACAGAAAGAGCAAGAGCUCUAGGCGUAGGAGAACGUAUGAUAUCGAUAGUGAAUCUGAAGAGAGUGAGAGUGAUUCCGAUGACGAAGAAGGAAGAUCUCUAAGAGUAAGCGUAGGCGUAUGAGAUUGUAUGAUAGUGAUAGUGAAUCCGAUGGGAGUGAGAGCGAUUCUGAUAGGAGACGAAGAAGUAAGAUGAGGCGAGGACAUAGGAGGAGGAAGAAGAAGAGAUACAGUGAUUCUUAAGAGAGCAGUGAAUUUGAGAUUAGUGCUUCUUCCUCUGGUGAUGAACAACACACCAAGUCAAAGAGCAAGAGACGGAAGAAGCCAUGUCUGGUUCUGAUACUGAUUCCAACAGUGAAGGAUUCUGAGCUUGAUGAAGAGGAGUUGAAGAAGUUCAAAGAGAUGAUUGAAUCAAUCAAAGAAGAAAGCUUCAGCAGCUCCUGAAGAUGAUGAAGAAGCUGAAGUGCCAUUACCUAAAGCUGAAGGUCACAUCAGUUACGGAGGUGCUUUAAAACCAGCAGCAAGGGAAACGUAUCCCACGUAGAGGAGUAGUGGGUCUUAACGCUGAUGAGAUUCAGAGGUUUGAGGAUCUUGGAUAUGUGAUGGGUGAAAGUAGGCAUCAAAGGAUGAGUGCUAUUCGUAUCAGAAAGGAAAACCAGGUUUACAGUGCUAAAGACAAUCGGGCAUGGGCUAUGUUUAACUAUGAAGAGAAGGCCAAGCGUGAGACUAAGGUUAUGUCUGAUCUCUCGAGGCUUGUGCAGCGCCAUAUGGGAGAAGAGUUGGGGCCUAAUCAUGACUCUUUUGGUGCUGGAAAGACUGAUGGAGCUGAUGAUUGAUCUGUUUUGCUUCCUUGUGCUGGGUACGUAUCUUAUACUUUUGUUUUUGUAGACUGUUCCUUAUUGCGCAUCAUAGUCAAUGUUUGUUUGCUACUUGACCGUUAAUGAGUAUAUGCAUUUAAUUUGCCAUGUGUAUCACAUUACAUUACUGCAUUUGUGUGUUAAAGAUGAAAUUGGACUUUAGGGACUUUGUAUGAUUGUGUUUGCCUGUGAAAUAUCGAAGACUCUGACUUCAGUGGUUGUGCAGCUGUUUUUAGACUAUUACUUAGCUGUGUGUAUGUAUUUGCCGUAGGCUGUGUUUAAUUAUGCCAGUAGAAGAAUCAAUUUAGUUAAGAUAUUAGCUUUUAAUGUCCACUUCUCAGCUUAUAAGAUGCACGAACGAAACAGUAGUUUUUGAUUAUUGAAACCUAGCACAUGAUAUUAUGUUGGAAACUUAGUCCUCAUGAUUUUUGCUCUUAUCAUUGUUGUUGUGACUAUUUUUAAUGGUAAUGCGACAUGAAGUGAAGUCUUGUGGUCAGGUCAUCACAUGUUAUCGUUGUCGCCACUAUUAUUGGGAUCUUUAUGAUUAUCAAGUGCAAUAAUAAUUUCUGAAUUUGCAGGCGGAUAUUAUUGGGUUUCAAUUAUAAUUUAUGAUUCCACUUUUGUGGAACUAUACAGUGCAAUAUCUAGUCAUUAGAAGACCCUACGUUAUACCUGGAGGCUGGAGGUCAUGGUCUCAGGCGCGUGGUGAGCGUUGUCUGAGACUGAUGGUUAAAGAUGAGUUUUUUCUAGUUGAGGAAGCUGUGUGCUCGGUGGUUUUUGCCGGUAUCAAGAGUUUGGUUCUCUUUUGAAACCUUAGAUACUCUUGUCUUUCCCCUAACCGUGUGCUUAGACGAGCUCGUUUACCUCCUCUUCCUCCUGCUUGUGUCUACUUUGCUGAGACUGUACCCGAUUAAUCUUUCUGGAGGUUAGAAUUUGGCUUAUUUUGUCUUUGAUUUAGCAACGGUGUAGCUUCAAGGUAGGGGGCUGUGGGGUGAGGUGAGCAGUUGAAGGUUAUACUUGAGAAGAAGUCGGUGGUCUCUGUUUGUCCUCGGUGGCUUCUUGCGUGUUGGAGCAAUAUAAAGAGGUUGAAGCUAUUUGGUGUCCAGGUAAAGGUGUGGUUGAAGAAGGGGUUUGUCCCGGUGUUUGCUUCUUAAUGGGUUUGUUUGUCUUGGUUUUGUCCAAGUGGUUUGUGGUCAUCGUGAACGUGUGGUUCAAAUGAGGAUUUCUGCUCUCGAUGAAGAAACCCCCUGCUUUGUGUGCUUGCCUGCUUAGUGCAUAACAAGAAUCUGACUAGUCAUAUAGAAAUAAGUCUUUGUUUAGUCUCUUGCACGGUUGUUUAUGGGUUUAGUUUAAGGUUGGUAGUUUGAUGUUCUGUUUUGAAGUAUGUGAUGUAUGUGUCCCGUUUCUUUGGGCUUUGGGCUUCCCUGUUUGGGAUUAGUUUCCGGGGAUGUUCAUGUGUUCCGCCGGCGUUAGGAUUCUAACCUUGUAAUUUUCUAUUGUUAUGAAUGAAAAACUCGGGAAAAAAAAAUCACGAAAAUAUAAACUGAUCUUUGGUUAACUAUGGACGAGAAAGCGAUGUUAGCGGGUUCAAAUUAAUAUGAAAGCAUUAUUGUUGUCUUAUUAAACUAAGAAACUUAUUCACCUGCAGCAUUAACAAAAAAUUAUUCUAAAAUUUUUGGAUCUAAUAAAUGUCACCGUUAACGUCUCUUUCCUAGGAACACAGAAUAAAAGAGGAAUUUUGACCAAAUGCUCUUCUAAUACUGCAAUUGUGAAAAUGGACUAAAGUGGCUUUCAAGUUUCAAGGAUCCUUAAUAAAUGGAAAAAUUGGAAAAAUUGGACACUUUGAACUUUUAUUUGUCACAAUAGGACUUCUGAUAUUUUGGGCAAUUCUAGACAACUUUUAUCCUUCUUUUAUGGGAAAAAUAGUAAACUGAAUUUUAAAAAUGUUAAAAAAUAUGAAAACUAUUGAAAACAUAAGUAUGACAAUAUAUAUGUUUAAAAGUUUUUUUUUUUAAAAGUGGAAUCAUAUUUUAUUUUAUCUUCUAGCUACAGUUAGAAUAUUCAUUCUUGUCAUCUACUUAGUCUAGAAAUCGGAUACUAAGUUUUAUACAUAGAUAUAUCUUGGAUAUACAACGUAAACUAGCAUUUCUUAUAUAUUCUAACCAAGCUAUAUUUCGAAACGUUAUAAUCAAGAAAGAUGUCUUCAGUAUACCUACAGCUUGAUAACGACAUAUAGCCACAACGCAGUGAUAUACCUUAUCUAUAUUACGUGCCAUAACAUGUUCUGCCUUUUACCUUAUGUGGCGCUUAAGGAAGAAUAUGGUUCACAUCUACUCUACUGUGCUCUGAGUUAGCUAGGAUAUAUAUUCUACGUGAAAUCCGAAAAAUCUGGAAGUUUCCAUAUUCGGUUAAAGAUUUUUCCUAAAUCUAAACUAAAUCUUCCCUAAAUAUCUCAUAGAAUAUUUUCUCCCACGUUUUUCUCUUUCUCCCACGAUCUUUUCUCUUCAUUUUUUUGUGUUUCUCUCUUCUUCAUCAACAUAAUCAUCUCUUUUCUCUAUCAAUACAACAUGGUUCCAAUCUAUGUUAAAUUCGGUGAACCUGCAGUUGUAUCUCUAUCAUCGAGGGACGUACACAUAAGUGAAUUUUGUGACAUUAUUCAUUCAGUGUGUAAACAUUGUUUAGAUCAUCAAUGUGUUGUUGAUGUAGUAUAAGAGCAUUGAGAAGAGAGAGGGAGUUUUUGGCGAGAAGGAUAAACUCGAGACUGACGCCUAAGGAGAGAGAGGAGCUGUACAUGAAGUGGGACGUACCACUGGAAGGGAAACAGAGGAAGCUACAGUUCGUGAACAAGCUAUGGACUGAUCCUUACGACUCAAGGCACGUGCAAGAGAGUGCAAAGAUAGUUGUCAAGCUUGUUGGGUUCUGUGAAAGUGGUAACAUCUCUAAAGAGAUGUUUGAGCUCAACUUCGCCAUGCCUUCAGAUAAAAAGUGGAACAUUGUUUGGCACAACAUCUCUAAUCUUUUUCAUCUAUGAAGAUAGUUUUUUUUGUAAAAAAGUAGACAACACAUAAGAGUACUCCUAGUUAUAUCAUUAUGGUUGUAUUUGUAGUACUAGAUUUCUUGUCAAAUUUGAGACUAUAACGAUCAGAUUACCAUGUAUGAUCCUAGCGCCAGUACCACGUCCUCUUGAUAGUGGCUACAACAAACCUCAGUUUUAGAAUUGAUUUUGAUGAGUCAAGGACAUUGUACCCCCAUUGCUGGGGAGGCUCAGCUAAGUGAUUCUACUUGUAAUGAAGUUUUCUUCCACUGUCGCACAUAAAAAAGGUUGGAACUGUAACCAGAUUAAUAUUCGGCAAUAUGAAGGUACACAACAAAACUAAAUCAAUCUCUGCAACCUGAAACUUUUGUGUGCAACGACAGACCCUUAUUUUCUGAGGAACACUGUAAUAUUGGAGCAUGAGUAUAACCAAAUCUAUGAUAAAUAAUGACAACAACUGAACAAUAAUGAAUCAAACAGCAAACUUAAGUUUCUUCUAUGUUGUUGGAAAAUGUAAUUCUAGUUUUCUUCCCUCUCCCUGUGCUCAGCUAAACAAUACGCAGCAAUAGCAUCUGUUAGAUAUAUUGUUGGUUUACGUAUGCCUGUCGAAAAACUUCUAUGAGUACAGAGAAAGUUGCAAAGCCAGUGCAGCCUAUACAUGCAGCUUUUGGCCCACCUGAAACAAAAUCAAAUUCAUCAAAAUCCCCAGAGACACAACGUAUAAUGAAAGCAAACAAAAAUCUCUUCAAAGAGAGCAUGUGAAAUGUCAAAGGAACAAAAGCAACUACGAGACUUCAGUUUGAGAAUCAAAGAUUAUUACCUAUUGUUAAGAAACAUGAGAUUUUGAGGAAGGGUAUUAAUGUAAUAUAACCUGAGCAGAAUGACUGUGCCACUUAAAAAGGAAGUGCUCUGUUCCUCUUCUCUCUCUCUCUCUCCAACCUCAUUUCUCUGAUCCGUAGGAUCUUUCGUGUCCAACCUUAAAAACCCUAACAGAUUUUCUUCCAAACGGAGAUCAUUGAUCCACUAGUAAAGAAACAAUCAUCUCUGUAUCUUCUUCUAACGAGAAGAAAUCGAUCAAUAGCCUUUUUUACUCCAGCUUUAGAGACGAGCUGAUCCUGUGAUCUCCAAAGAGGUUCAACAAGGGUGAAAGAUUUUGAUUUUUGAUCAGAUUAAAGCGACUAGGAUUUAUCUUGAAAAUGGAAACGCUAAUCUUAGCUGCAGAACAUAGGAAUCAGUAUCAUCAUCAUGGGAAGAAAACUGUUGGACGACAUAGUGAUGGUUUUAGAUCCAAAACUUUCAGGCAAAUCAAUUGCAGAACUUUCCAUUAUGGAGUGGGUUUGCUUCCAAGGCCAAAGAGAACCUCUUCAACGUCUUUAACCAAAGGAUCUCUUCCUUGCGGUAGAACCAUUCCCAUUCCCAUUCAAGGCUCUCAGAUCCGUUGUGAGUUUGUUGACAAAAGGAGAAGCCUUUCUUACUCUGAGCUUUGGGCAGGUCCUACUUACUCCAACUCUCCUCCACCUACUUCUGUCCCCAUUCCUAAGUUCUCUCUCACGCAAAAGAGGACGGUUUCUUUGAGCUUCCCACCUCCCCACCCUACUGUUGAAGCUGCCAAGUCUGCGCCUGUUUCUCCAACCUCAUCUGCUGAUAACCCUUUUCACACUACUGUCUCUGCCACUGUGACACUGCGUCGCAUGCUCAACCUUGACCAUGAAUGAAUAUCAGGAGUCUUUAGGGGGGACAGGGGUUAGUUUUAGUUUUCUGCAAUACAUAAAUAAGUAGCUGGUUUGAUUUUGUUUAGUAGCGUCUGAUGGUGGUGGUAAAGGAACAACGUGGAAGCAGUCAGUCUUCACAGCAGAGUUGGUCAGUAGUUACUGGAUCUCCUAUCCUAGGUGGAGCAGAUUGCUAUAGUGAGUAGAAACAUUCAGGAAGCGGAUUCUUGGUUUAGCAUUUAGGAUGGCUAGCUAGAAAUUCACCAGUCUCUAUCUAACAUAUACCCUGGGUUGGUGAAUGCUAAGUUCAUGGUGCAUUUCCUCUUUUCCCUUUGUAUAUGUUUCUCUUUUAGAGUCUUGGCUUCUUUUCUUAAGUGGGUUAGUUAGCAACUAGGUUCCUGUGUCUAUUCUUCCAAGUUACAACAUCUUUUGGUGGUCUUAAUCUUACCCUUCCUGUUUUGUCUCCCUCCUUGUUCAUCUCUUUUCUUUUCAUCCCUUUGAGUCUUCUUCUAUUUCGUUUAUGUCCAGCCUUAAAAGAUGUAAAUCCUUGCUACUUGUGUUUAGUGGUCUUCCUCUUCAACCCUUUCCUUAUUUUUUUUUGUAAAAGGAAGAAGGGAAUGGGAAGCUCUUUCUUCUGACCAACCCUCUUGAACGGUCUCUAGUCUACUGGUAAAUAUUCAUCCAAAUCUUUCUGGCGAUACUUCUUCUGAAGACAAAGACAUUCCUCAGGCUCUUCUUGAUACCGGUCUUACCUACUUUAAAAGUUUCCUUGGAGUUUCGUGAUCCUGCCUAAUCUGCUCACCAGGGGCUUAUAGAAGCUGCUGCUCCGCUCUGCUCUGUUGUUGAUGCUUUUGAUCAUAGUUCCUUUGUCUCUACUAUCUUUUGGUUUUCUUGUAUUGUUUACGCAGUGACAAGUAUUGUCUCAGUGUUUGGACCUCUGCUUUCCAAAAACACAUAUGUUUCUCCUUGUCUUUGUGUAAAGUUUGUGGCAGUGUUGUAGGCAUUUUGGUAUCUGGUACUGAGUUUUAAUGGUGAAGGAGCUGUAUCCCUUGUUCCCUAUAAGUAUUAUUAUCAAAGAUUGUCGAUA
Molecule: RNA transcript, 6975 nt
Organism: Brassica napus (rape)
Lineage: Eukaryota; Viridiplantae; Streptophyta; Magnoliopsida; Brassicales; Brassicaceae
Gene name: NKAP-like protein
Exons: 3
Source: RefSeq, a predicted model, not a curated record